UGCAGUCGAGCGAGAAGUGACUUCGGUCGCGAGUAAAGCGGCGAACGGGUGAGUACAACGUGGAUAAUCUACCCUAGGGUCUGGGACAACCCCGAGAAAUCGGGGCUAAUACCAGAUAAGACCACAGUAUCCAAGGAUACAGCGGUAAAAGAUUUAUCGCCUUUGGAUGAGUCCACGCCCCAUCAGGUAGUUGGUAAGGUAAAGGCUUACCAAGCCUAAGACGGGUAGCCGGCCUUAGCGGGUGAACGGCCACAUGGGGACUGAGACACGGCCCUGACUCCUACGGGAGGCAGCAGUGGGGAAUAUUGGGCAAUGGGCGAAAGCCUGACCCAGCGAUGCCGCGUGAGGGAUGAAGGCCUUCGGGUUGUAAACCUCUGUCAGGAGGGACGAUGGGACACUUGUGUCUUGACGGUACCUCCAGAGGAAGCCCCGGCUAACUCCGUGCCAGCAGCCGCGGUAAUACGGAGGGGGCAAGCGUUGCUCGGAAUUACUGGGCGUAAAGGGUCCGCAGGCUGUCAGGCAAGUUGGUUGUGAAAUCCCAAGGCUUAACCUUGGAAUUGCAUCCAAAACUGCCUGACUAGAGUCCAAGAGAGGUUGGCGGAAUUCCCGGUGUAGCGGUGAAAUGCAUAGAUAUCGGGAGGAACACCAGAGGCGAAGGCGGCCAACUGGCUUGGUACUGACGCUCAGGGACGAAAGCGUGGGUAGCAAACCGGAUUAGAUACCCGGGUAGUCCGCGCCCUAAACGAUGGAUGCUAGGUAGGGGGAAUUUAAUUCUCCCUGCCGUAGUUAACGCAUUAAGCAUCCCGCCUGGGGAGUACGGUCGCAAGGCUGAAACUCAAAGGAAUUGGCGGGGGCCCGCACAAGCGGUGGAGCACGUGGUUUAAUUCGAUGCUAAGCGAAAAACCUUACCAAGACUUGACAUGUUAACUUAAGCCUAUACGAAAGUAUGUGGUGGUUCCCGGGCUUGCCCGGAACAGUUAUCACAGGUGCUGCAUGGCUGUCGUCAGCUCGUGCCGUGGGGUGUCCGGUUAAGUCGGUAACGAGCGCAACCCCUAUCUUUAGUUGGCAUCCACUUCUGGUGGGCACUCUGAAGAAACUGCCAGCGACAAGCCCGGAGGAAAGAUGGGG
RNAcentral lists this ribosomal RNA (1128 nucleotides) under uncultured bacterium. RNAcentral describes it as "bacterial SSU rRNA". It matches the Rfam family "Bacterial small subunit ribosomal RNA", at positions 56 to 1179 of the family's 1533-position model. The record is from RNAcentral.